AGUUCCCACCUCAACAAAUGCCAAUCUCAAUAAUGCCAAUAUGUCCAAAGCUGCCCAUGGAAAGCGGCCCAGCAUUGGGAACCUUGAGCAUGUGUCUGAAAAUGGGCAUCAUUCUUCCCACAAGCAUGACCGGGAGCCUCAGAGAAGGUCCAGUGUGAAAAGGUCCGACUCAGGAGAUGAACAGCUCCCAACUAUUUGCCGGGAAGACCCAGAGAUACAUGGCUAUUUCAGGGACCCCCACUGCUUGGGGGAGCAGGAGUAUUUCAGUAGUGAGGAAUGCUACGAGGACGACAGCUCGCCCACCUGGAGCAGGCAAAACUAUGGCUACUACAGCAGAUACCCAGGCAGAAACAUCGACUUUGAGAGGCCCCGAGGCUACCAUCACCCUCAAGGAUUCUUGGAGGACGAUGACUCGCCCGUUUGCUAUGAUUCACGGAGAUCUCCAAGGAGACGCCUACUACCUCCCACCCCAGCAUGUGAGGCCAGAUUUUUUGUUUUGGGUGGAACCUCCCGGGGAACAGUGUGCCUCUCCCCCCACCCCUGCUCUG
This 548-nucleotide small RNA is filed under the name Pongo abelii (Sumatran orangutan). RNAcentral describes it as "retained intron". Lineage: Eukaryota; Metazoa; Chordata; Mammalia; Primates; Hominidae. The record is from RNAcentral.